UACGGAGGGUGCGAGCGUUGUCCGGAAUCACUGGGCGUAAAGGGCGCGUAGGUGGCGCGGAAAGUCAACGGUGAAAGCUUGGGGCUCAACCCCGAGUCGGCCGUCGAUACUUCUGGGCUUGAGCACUGUAGAGGCAGGUGGAAUUCCGGGUGUAGCGGUGGAAUGCGUAGAGAUCGGGAAGAACAUCGGUGGCGAAGGCGGCCAGCUGGGCCAUUGCUGACGCUGAUGCGCGACAGCGUGGGGAGCAAACAGG
RNAcentral lists this ribosomal RNA (253 nucleotides) under uncultured bacterium. RNAcentral's name for it is "partial 16S ribosomal RNA". It matches the Rfam family "Bacterial small subunit ribosomal RNA", at positions 524 to 776 of the family's 1533-position model. The record is from RNAcentral.